This 349-nucleotide ribosomal RNA is filed under the name uncultured bacterium. RNAcentral's name for it is "bacterial SSU rRNA". It matches the Rfam family "Bacterial small subunit ribosomal RNA", at positions 917 to 1267 of the family's 1533-position model. The record is from RNAcentral.
GGGCCCGCACAAGCGGUGGAGUAUGUGGUUUAAUUCGAUGCAACGCGAAGAACCUUACCAGGGUUUGACAUCCUGCGAAUCUCUUGGAAACGAGAGAGUGCCUUCGGGAGCGCAGUGACAGGUGGUGCAUGGCUGUCGUCAGCUCGUGUCGUGAGAUGUUGGGUUAAGUCCCGCAACGAGCGCAACCCACGUCUUUAGUUGCCAGCAUUUAGUUGGGCACUCUAGAGAGACCGCCGGUGAUAAACCGGAGGAAGGUGUGGAUGACGUCAAGUCAUCAUGCCCCUUACAUCCUGGGCUACACACGUACUACAAUGCUACGGACAAAGAGCAGCAAGUUCGCGAGGACAAG